This 72-nucleotide transfer RNA is filed under the name Marmota marmota marmota (Alpine marmot). It matches the Rfam family "tRNA". Rfam says of the family: Transfer RNA (tRNA) molecules are approximately 80 nucleotides in length. Their secondary structure includes four short double-helical elements and three loops (D, anti-codon, and T loops). RNAcentral also lists the same sequence under 1 other name. The record is from Rfam by way of RNAcentral. Lineage: Eukaryota; Metazoa; Chordata; Mammalia; Rodentia; Sciuridae.
AGCAGUGUAGCUCAGUGGUAGAGUAUAUGCUUAACAUGAGCCAGACCCUGGAUUAAAUCCCCAGCACUGCAA